CCCUUAGAUGUUCUGGGCUGCACGCGCGCUACACUGACAUACUCAGCAAGUUUCCUUGCCUGAAAGGGUUGGGUAAUCUUGUUAGUGUAUGUCGUGAUGGGGAUAGAAUAUUGUAAUUAUUGCUCUUUAACGAGGAAUUCCUAGUAAGCGCAAGUCAUCAGCUUGCGUUGAUUACGUCCCUGCCCUUUGUACACACCGCCCGUCGCUCCUACCGAUUGGGUGAUCCGGUGAAUGAUUCGGACCCUGGCUAUGCUAGCUACUAGCUACGUCAGGGAAAGUUUUGUGAACCUUAUCACUUGGAGGAAGGAGAAGUCGUAACA
RNAcentral lists this ribosomal RNA (320 nucleotides) under uncultured eukaryote. Its description in RNAcentral is "partial 18S ribosomal RNA". It matches the Rfam family "Eukaryotic small subunit ribosomal RNA", at positions 1470 to 1796 of the family's 1831-position model. The record is from RNAcentral.